UUUGGGUUCACUGUGGGGAUGGAUGGAACUUAGAGGCACAGAUGAGGUGGGGUGGGCACCCCAAGCAAACGGAAGGACACCAGCAGACUUUAAGAGCCAGCGCUGUCUGUUUGGGAGGAGGAGAACAGACCGGUGUGACUGCAGCAUGAAAGAGGAUGUGAUGGCGGCUGUGGCUUGAACACAGACCGAGGCCUUACAACGGGUGGUUCUAAAAUUUAAGGCGAGGCCCAGAGAGGCCAAGCAGUUUUCUCAAGGUCACAGAGUUAGUAGAGAAGCAGAGUUCACCUCCAGCGCUCCUUCUGCUGGCCCUAGGCCACGGAUUCCCCUCCCAGGCUUGGGGCCCCUCCCUGUGGCCCACUCCCCUCUCCCCCGCCACAGGGGUCUUGCCCUCACGGCUGGUAGAUCCCAGGCUGCCAGUGCAGGCUGCCCGGCUCCCAAUCCUGCAUUUUUAGAUGAGUACGGAAAUGCUCUUAAAGAGGGUAGAAAAGUCAUCUCACAGCCUGGGUUAGGGACUCGGCCCGGCCCAGCCCAGACUGAAAUACCUGGAAUUUCCCUAGCUGGCCCCUCUCCUCUUCCUCACCCGACCCAGAUCGCUGACCCGUGGGUUUACUAUAGCCCUUUCUGUGCGCCGUCCACGUCAGUCCCCAGAAGUCCCUCUGAACAGUGGGCACAGAACCGACAGCUGGGGUUGGAAGACAGCGCUGCCUGCGUUAGGGCGGGGUCGGUGGGGAAGGAGCCGUGGUGGCAGGAGCGGCCGCCAGGUGGCGCCAUGAGCCUGGCGCCAGGCCAGCCCGUUGGUGGCCGACACCUCCUGUCUGGGCGGCCGGGUGGCUGUCCCGAGGGGCCACGGUGGGCUCUCCAGCGGGAUCGGAGCACGGGGGAGGCCCAACCCGGGGCUACCCUCUGCCCCCUCCUCUCCUUUGUCAGCCGUUGGGGACCACGCGGUUGGAUCCUACUCAGAUCAUCACAGCACGGGAGACCACGCGAUCCAUGCCCGUGAAAGAAUUAGGAGAACAAACCCAGAGAGCUGGGAGAAUUUAACCCAGGACUGCCUGCUCAGUGGACGACUCUGGGCAUCCUUUCUCCCCGCCCAGCCCAGCCUGAGAUGAUGAGCCUAGGGCAGAAAAUGAUGGAUGGAGAUUUUUCCUAGCCAAACUCCCCUGAAGGAGCCGGGAUUUCCAUCCAGAGUCCUGCUGCCCAUGGGUCCUAAGGCCUGUCCCCUUGCCCGGUGUGGUGAUGAACUGCUCCCCUGGUUCUGCACCCUCCUCCUCCCGUUAGCUUUGCCAUGGCUUCAGUUUGCAGACUUACUAUUUUGGCUUUAAAUUCCUUCCUCGUUUCUGUUGCUUAUGGAUUUCUUUAUUUUGAACUCAAUAUGCAUUUUAAUUUUUCGAUCCUAUUUUAUGGAGACUCUCCCUGUGUGAUGGAACAGAGCAGUGGAGAUCCAUGGUAGCUCAUUCUGUGAGUUACUUGAUGCCUAGGGCAUGAUUAUUUUUCCUCCUCUCUCUCCUACCGGACUGUGGGCUCCUUGAAGAAGGAAACUGUGCCCAUAUUAUUUCUGGUUCUUCGCUCAGUACCGGGCACAAACACAAUACGCAUGGCCUUUGCCGGGUGGAUAGUUAAAUGAUGGAAGGUGACUAUCAAAGGUUAUACAGCUCUCUCCACAUCUCCAGGAAGAAGAUUUCCUCAAUCAUUCCGAACACAAAGAUAUUCUUUUAUUCUGAAAAAUCUUUUACAGGUGAUUCUGUAGCAUAUGUCAUUAUUAUGACAUCUAUGUGCAUGUGUUUCUCAACAUUCUAAUGUGGUCAUCAAGCCAGCACCGCGUGGCAGGCCCUCAGAAGACGUGACACAAGGCCAGCACUGACCCGUGGUCCUCCAGCUGGAGGCCGUGACUUGGAAAGCAUGUCUAUCACGUGAUCGUUUGCCAUGAUUUCACUUAUGGAGAGGACUGUGUUUGUUUGGAGGAAAAUGUUCACCAGGCCUACUUGGGAGAGCAGCUAAGCCUUCAGGGAACUUGACAGGGAGAGGCUGCUGAGGCCUGAGGCCGACAAGGGCAGCAUUUUCCUGGUUGAGGCCGAGGCAGAGGGGGAGGGGAGGAGUGGAAGCCAGGAGGGUGAAAGCCACAAGCUUGCCCCAUGCUGUCCUCGGGAUGGCACGGUGCUCCCGAACCUGUGCACGUGUAGCAAACAUAGAAACGCAAUGAUGAGAGAUCCACAAUCACAGCCUGAUAUUUAACCAAACUUUCCCAGAUAUUAAUAACUAAAGUAAAAAAGGAAGGCAAAGAUAUGGACCUUAAGUGGCACAAUAAAUAAAUUUAACUGAAUGUAUAUCCAGGAGUCUGUACCUAACUGAGGCAGGAGACGGACGGGCCCCAGGCUGAGCAGCUGGAGUCUGGCCCCUGUGGACAGAGACCCCGAGAUAAACAUCAUAGCAGGAGCAGGGAGAAGCCUCUUCCCCUAACCCCAAACCCUGGAGGAGGGGUUGACCCCCAGAGGGACUCCAAGACAGACAGCCUUCCUGCAGCAGAAGAGGACACCCUGGUCUCUCUCCGGUGCCUCCAGGAAGUAAACACUCCGUCGUACCAUUUGUGUGAAGAGAAAAUUAGCUCUCAUUGGAGGGUUGGGGUAAAAAUAUCUCCAGUCUGUAAACACAUCGGUUGGGGCAUCCUGGAGGCACACGACUGGAGCACCACGGGCUGCAGGUGCCUGUCUGCCCUGCGUCUUCUCACCCCCACAGGUGCUCCUGGCUCUGCUUCAGGACAACCGGGUCGCACACGUGUCCCCAGCCCUGGAGCAUAGAUUAGGAAAAGUUUCUCACUUUUCUCCAGGUCAGUGGAAAAGUUCUUGAGACCAAGUGGAGGGAAAGAAAGAGCUGGUCUGUUUUCUGUCUCAGCAGAUGUCCUUCUGGAAGGCGAUGGGGGGUGUCGUUUACCAGCAUCCCUGACCCCUCUUCCCGGGCAUCCUGGCACCCAGCCAAGCCCUGUUUCUCUGCUUUCUCAGAGAAGGUGCUCAGGCUGACACCCCGACAGGGAGCUGGGGUUCCUAAUUCUUAGGGCUCUCAGCCCGGGAGAAGCAACUCCUAUGUCAGGCUUCCUCGUGGCCAUGUUGCUGUCCAUCCCUGUUGGUGGUACCAUGGCUGCCUGUACCCCGGUGAAUAAAGAGGCCCUGACUGAUGCUGACCCUGGGCAGAGGGGAGGGGCUCUUUCUUCCACCCACAGCAUGUAUGAUAUCUUUACUUAAACGCACACACACACUGACACACUCUAGCACAUGGCACAGAGCCUCCUUCGGGUGAAGCGUGUAAGGCCUGCUCAAUCGCUUCUUAAAAAAGUUUCUCUCUAGGAAGCCACUGUAAGCCCAAACUUUAGCAUUAAUAUGACCUUUUUCGAGUGAACCCCUACAAAGGAGAGGAACGUGCAAAUAAAUCAAAGUGCAGACUUUGCUUCUUAAUCCAGCAUAAGCAGCAUGUCUGGUUGGUACCCCCAGAAAAAUGGGGUUCACUUCUUGGUGGGUGUGGAGCCAGAAGACACAACCAAGCCAGAGAGUGGGAGAAGGGAGGGUUUAUUACUGGCAGCAAGUGAGGAGAACACAGGGGAUCUUCCCCGAAGCAGUGUCUCCCGGAAGAGCAAAACUGGGGAAGUGUUACCCUAAGGGUCACAUGCAUCUUCAUGAAGGGGCUUGAGCAGAGGCAAACUCAGCAUAGAAUUGGGGCAAAGGUCAACAGAGUCCACGCUUGAGGGUCCACAUCAUUGCUCUGUCCUCCUCCUGGGUGGGGGCCUUAGUUCCUGCAGAACUCAGAGACUGGAUCCCAUGUUAUAUGUAGCCCUUGAAGAGGAAAUGGGACUCUGUUCUACUUCUGAGCUGUUGUUUCUUGACUGCUUUUCCUGUGUUCCCACAUUCCCUUACUUCUCUGAGAGCAUUGAUUACUGAGACCUGUUCAAGGGCAAGCGCUGUGGCCAAGAUUCGAUCACAAAAUGGCUCAGGCCAGAAAUGCCUUCUCUUAUGUCUAGAAAGCCAUGCCUGGUUCUCUCUCUCUGGGGACACCCUACUCUAUCGUUAAAGGGGAUGUCUGCUACUUGCACACACAAAAAUUGUUGCCUGCCAUUUCAGUAAACAAAGAAUGCUGCCUGCCAUUCUGGUAAACAGUGAAUGCUGCCCACCAGCAAGCCAUCAGACGCUGCAGCCCACCCUGCUGUGAGCCCUGAGAGGAACUCAGGACGGAGGAGAAAAGGAUACAGGCCCUAGUUAAGGUGCACCUCAAAGGACUGAUUUCAAUGAGCCCAGACUCUUGCAUCCUCCCAUACAUAGAAAAGCACUACAGUCAUUAAUUUGAGAUGUCUGUUUAUUUUUGUGAUUAGCAGUCAUCUUUUGAUGUUUGACUACCUGUGAUUUUUUUUCAGCAAAAACUUCUCUACAUCCUGGCUCUCCCCUACCUCUUUGGAGCAGUCCCUCAGAGCUAUCUGCGAGGCUGUCUCCCCAGCUGUUGACCUCAGUAAGGUCCCGAAUAAAACAUAACUUUCAACUUC
Globicephala melas (long-finned pilot whale) is the source of this 4522-nucleotide long non-coding RNA. RefSeq lists it as uncharacterized. Lineage: Eukaryota; Metazoa; Chordata; Mammalia; Artiodactyla; Delphinidae. The record is from RefSeq and is a predicted model, not a curated record.